Molecule: ribosomal RNA, 1399 nt
Filed under: Salmonella enterica
Lineage: Bacteria; Pseudomonadati; Pseudomonadota; Gammaproteobacteria; Enterobacterales; Enterobacteriaceae
Description: bacterial SSU rRNA
Rfam family: Bacterial small subunit ribosomal RNA
Source: RNAcentral
UGCCUGAUGGAGGGGGAUAACUACUGGAAACGGUGGCUAAUACCGCAUAACGUCGCAAGACCAAAGAGGGGGACCUUCGGGCCUCUUGCCAUCAGAUGUGCCCAGAUGGGAUUAGCUUGUUGGUGAGGUAACGGCUCACCAAGGCGACGAUCCCUAGCUGGUCUGAGAGGAUGACCAGCCACACUGGAACUGAGACACGGUCCAGACUCCUACGGGAGGCAGCAGUGGGGAAUAUUGCACAAUGGGCGCAAGCCUGAUGCAGCCAUGCCGCGUGUAUGAAGAAGGCCUUCGGGUUGUAAAGUACUUUCAGCGGGGAGGAAGGUGUUGUGGUUAAUAACCGCAGCAAUUGACGUUACCCGCAGAAGAAGCACCGGCUAACUCCGUGCCAGCAGCCGCGGUAAUACGGAGGGUGCAAGCGUUAAUCGGAAUUACUGGGCGUAAAGCGCACGCAGGCGGUCUGUCAAGUCGGAUGUGAAAUCCCCGGGCUCAACCUGGGAACUGCAUUCGAAACUGGCAGGCUUGAGUCUUGUAGAGGGGGGUAGAAUUCCAGGUGUAGCGGUGAAAUGCGUAGAGAUCUGGAGGAAUACCGGUGGCGAAGGCGGCCCCCUGGACAAAGACUGACGCUCAGGUGCGAAAGCGUGGGGAGCAAACAGGAUUAGAUACCCUGGUAGUCCACGCCGUAAACGAUGUCUACUUGGAGGUUGUGCCCUUGAGGCGUGGCUUCCGGAGCUAACGCGUUAAGUAGACCGCCUGGGGAGUACGGCCGCAAGGUUAAAACUCAAAUGAAUUGACGGGGGCCCGCACAAGCGGUGGAGCAUGUGGUUUAAUUCGAUGCAACGCGAAGAACCUUACCUGGUCUUGACAUCCACAGAACUUUCCAGAGAUGGAUUGGUGCCUUCGGGAACUGUGAGACAGGUGCUGCAUGGCUGUCGUCAGCUCGUGUUGUGAAAUGUUGGGUUAAGUCCCGCAACGAGCGCAACCCUUAUCCUUUGUUGCCAGCGGUCCGGCCGGGAACUCAAAGGAGACUGCCAGUGAUAAACUGGAGGAAGGUGGGGAUGACGUCAAGUCAUCAUGGCCCUUACGACCAGGGCUACACACGUGCUACAAUGGCGCAUACAAAGAGAAGCGACCUCGCGAGAGCAAGCGGACCUCAUAAAGUGCGUCGUAGUCCGGAUUGGAGUCUGCAACUCGACUCCAUGAAGUCGGAAUCGCUAGUAAUCGUGGAUCAGAAUGCCACGGUGAAUACGUUCCCGGGCCUUGUACACACCGCCCGUCACACCAUGGGAGUGGGUUGCAAAAGAAGUAGGUAGCUUAACCUUCGGGAGGGCGCUUACCACUUUGUGAUUCAUGACUGGGGUGAAGUCGUAACAAGGUAACCGUAGGGGAACCUGCGGUUGGA